Molecule: long non-coding RNA, 4415 nt
Filed under: Marmota monax (woodchuck)
Lineage: Eukaryota; Metazoa; Chordata; Mammalia; Rodentia; Sciuridae
Source: RNAcentral
UAUGUAGAGCUUGCCAGCAUGCAUGAGCCUGGUAUCCCNCCUACUGGCAUUUUUGAGUAAUUUUGUGAGUAAUAUUGCUAAUGUAAUAUUUGACUGAAUACUUACAGUUCUUUAAUUUUGUACAAAUACCCCAAGGGUCUUUUGCUAAUGGCUACAUUUUAAAUAAAUCAUAUGAAUGCUAGGCAAAUGUUAAUGAUCUUCAAUGCAAAUGUUGGUAGCAAACCUAAAGAAGUUAUGAACCAAGAUUUGGAACUCACUACAUUUAUAAUGUUACAUGUUUGUUAAAAAUGUGGAGGGAAAAAAGAUUUUAAAGAGAGGUAUUUUUGCCAUAACUGUAAAAUAAAUGUUAGUUGGUACUUUUCAUAAAAAUUCUUAGGAAUAGCAGGAUCCCCACUUACUGGUAAUUGAAUGCUUGAAUAAUGGCUACAGUUCCUAAAUUUUAUAGAGCAAUGAAAGUGAUAGUUUUUUAAAUAAACGUAGUUAAUACCAUUUUAUGAUUAUUUUAUUUUUGCUUAAUACUUAUAAAUAUUAUGAAAAUAAAUAUCUGGUCUUAGUUGAUCAUCCUAAUAGAAUUUGCUUAGAUUACAAAAACAAUUAUUGCUAAUAGACCCUCAAAAAUGUGUCUUUUGGCCAGGCACGGUGUUACAGGCCUGUAAUUCCAGUGGCUCAGGAGACUGAAGCAGGAGGAUCUCGAGUUCAAAGCUAGCUUCAGCAAUUUAGUGAGAUGCUAAGCAACUCAGUGAGACCCUGUCUCUAAAUAAAAAUACAAAAAAGGGCAGGGGAUGUGGCUCAGUGAUCGAGUGCCCCUGAGUUCAAUCCCUAGUACACACACAUACACCAAAAAAUGUGUCUUUCCCGGGGGUAUAGCUUAGUGAUAGAGCACUUGCCAAGCAUGCAUGAGGCUCUGGGUGGAAUCCCCAGCACUUCAAACAAAACAAAGCAAAAACCCUUCUCCUUGUAUUAUAGUCUCUCCUUCCAGGGAGGCGCAGAGGUCACCACAGGUAAUGGGGUGUUUAUUGGAAGGAUACAGCAGCAGCUGCCUGCUUAAGUGUGGUGGUUCUGAUAUCGCCUCUCCUGCCUCCAGGAUUGGCAUCCAGAUUGGCAUCAUUCUGACUUGUGUAGGAUUCUGCUUCUCUUCCACUGUCUGGUCCACUCCACGUCCAUUGGUUCACUCUCUUCCCACUUUCCCUGUUUAGAUUCCAGAGUGGCAUAAGCUAACUAAGCCUGACCAUCUCCUGGGUGGGGAGAGAACUGGCAGGGCAGUUUCCCUUAGAAGGAGGUGUUGGAAGAGCUAUCAUGGUGCCAGUGACAUUGAGCAGAGCAGCACUCUGGCCCACUACGUGACAUUGUGCUGAUGGGACCCAAUGAGCCCGCAGUAGCAAGAACUUAGCCGUCCCAGUGAUUGGCCUGCCUGGUUUAUUCAAGAGUAGACAAUGGAUUUUACUCAAAACUCUAAUUGUUCUUGUUAUAUAAUUAUAACAAGAGUGAGUCAUUUUGUAGGCAGAAGCUAUGACUGAUUUGUGGCUUUCUCCAGAAGUGUGAGUGAAGUCAGUGGCCUGUUUCACAAAGUACUAGAUAAGCAGAUUUCUAGAUCUCUUCAAUUAAGAGAACACUUAACUUGGCAUUUACACUUGGAGCUCCUUACACAACUCCCCAUCCCCAAACAUUAGAGCAUUUUUGCACUGGAGCAGCUCUGUGAGAUUGGUACCAGUGCUUUCUAUCUAUCUAUUCUUGUAAGACUCAGCCGGGGACCUUACAGCCAUAUGGUACCUGACAUCACUGUGGAAGUGAGAUUUGGGUUGCCAGUCUUUCUGGUUACUCAGUGUGUGACUGUUUGAAUGUUUAUUGUUUUUGUUGUUAUUUCUUCAGAUUGGUAAUUUAACUUUUUGAAUCCCAUUUUGUUUCUCUCUUUCUCUCUCUCUCUCUCUCUUUUUUUUUUUUUUUGUUGUGGUACUGGGGAUUGAACCCAGGGCCUUGUGAAUGCAAGGCAAGCACUCUACCAAUGAUCUAUAUCCCCAGCUUGUUUCUCUUAUUUUGAUCUAAUUUGGAAAUUUAAUAAGCAAUUCCUGCCAAACUUCCCCUUAGAACAACAUUUUUUCUACAGUGCUUGAUUAAAUUAUUAGACAAAAAUAAUUAGCUGGGUUUUUUUUUUCCUCUUAAUGCCAUGGAGUUUGGUAGAGGAAAUGAGUGCAGUAAUUGUCAAACUUAAAAAAAUAACAAUCUACCAUGUUGUUGGUUUAUCUUCGUAUUUGGUCAUAAUGAAUACUGUCUGUUUUCAUUUUAAGGAAAACAGUUUGAACAUGAGUACAAUUAGUAUUCAGAUUUUUUUCACUGGAUAUACUGCAUCAAACUAUUCAAUAAUUCAAAGUACAUAGGCUCUAUAAUCCUUUGGACUAGAACAGAAAUCUGGAUCAUAUUUUUUUCCACCUAUGUAAUAUGAUCAUUUUUCAUUUGUAGGGUCCCAAACUAAUGAUUUACAUAUUAACAUACCAAAUGGCCUGCAAUUUAGAUUUGUAUCAUCCUUUGUUUUAGAAAGCCAUCUACUAUAAAUCUCCAAAGAUAAGCUGUUAGGCCAUUUCUAACUCAAAAACAAAGAAUAGAUCUACUUUUGUAAAAAAUCACGCAAUGUAGAUUUUAAAAACAAUUUCUGAAUACCAUGUCAUGGAUUAUAUUCUAUUUAAAUUAUUUAUGGAAAGGUAUAUGUAUUUUGCACUAAGAAGUAUCUUAUACAUCCAACCACUUUUAUAUCAAGAUAGUUCAGUUGUAUGUUGAAAAAUGAUAGGAAACAUUUUUAUUUUUUCUUUAAUUUUGAUUUUGUCGUAAGUUUACUUUUAAUCAAUAAGCUGAUCACCUUACCAUCCCUCAGAAGACCAAGGCCUCUCUUUAGUCUUGAAUAGCUUGAAUUUUGGUGCGCAUUUUUGUUACUUUCAGAAAUUAAGUCAAAAUAGCCUUAUAUUAAAGGUAGCCUUAUAUGGAGAGCCUUAUUACAAAGAUAUCAGAACAUUUAAUUUCUAGUAUUUUUUCUAGAAUUCAGAAUCUUGGGUAUUUUGGGGGCAUAUAAGAACUUUGAGAAGAGUUCUCUAUUUAGUUAUGGCUAAGGUAUGUUUUGUACACUGUGGAUGUCUUUAUGCUUUCUGACAUUUGUAUUUAUGUUGAGGAAAGUCAUACCUCACUUUCUUGUUUGGCUCAAUAAAGCUCAUCAACAGAUAAAUUGCUCUGUGUGUAUGUGUUAAAAUAUUCUUGCCUUAAAAUAGAGUACUCAUGCGGCCAAAUGGUCUUCUAGUGAUUCAUCUUUCUGUGUGCCUGGUCAACGCAGGCCUGAUAAAGUCCAUGGGAGUAAGAAAGAAGAAUGAAACAUCUUUUCAUUGUUAAUGAUCUGAACCUGGAUUAAAAGUAUUUUGGGCAUGUAAAGAUUUUAUGGAAAAAGUAAUAUACGUGUGUUUGGCUUUUACUAGUUAAGAUGGCAAGUGGUUGAACAGAUAAAAUAUGUUUUGGUUUUAACCAUCAUUUUUAUUGACUCUGUUCUAAAAGGAAGUAGUUAUUGAAAGCGUGCAUGUGGUCAGGUUUACUACUUCCACUGUGCACACAUCAUUAUUGCUACCAUUACCCGUCAUCACUGGUGGCCACUGCACCUGUCAUGAGAGUUCAGAUGUGCUGCAUCAACCGAUGGAGAUGGUAAUGUGGAUAAGUAAAGACUGUAUGAUAGUUUGGGAUUUAAAGUCAUAUUAUAUUGUCUGAUAGCUCUUGUAAGAAUGAUGGUUUAUGGACGUAGCUUUUAUCUUCUAAUAAAGAUUCUUAAAAUCAGCUCAAUUUAUGUGAUGUAAUUUUGUUUCCUACUUUGAUACAGGAUUAGUAAAGUGUGCAGUCAUUUGGGUCGUUGCUUUUCUUACCUCGCUGUGUUACGUAUUUUUAUGUCGGAUCUUCUAUAGUACCUAUAAAUGUACAUCAAAUAUUUAAUUCAUGGUUGAAACUUUUUGGCAUCUUUAGUCCUUGAGGAAGUACUAUUUUAUAUAUAAAAAAUCGACUUUGUUAUGAUAUAAAUACGUUGUAUGCAAACCUGAAAAGAAAUGUGUACAGCUUGAACAUUUGAAGAGUUAAUAAAUCUUACCUUUUGAGAACGACCCUGGAACUGGUACUAAAUACUGUUCUGUUGAGUUGACUCCAUUAAUUGGUGUAUUUUGUUCUUUUUUUCUUCUUCUUUUUUAAUUUGUUCUUACAUAACAGUAGAAUGUAUUUUGAUGUAUUAUACGUAUAUGGAGUAUAACUUCUCAUUCCUCUGGUUGUACAUGAUGUGGAAUGACAUUGGUUGUGUAAUCAUAUAUGCAUAAAAGAAAGUAAUGUCCACUUCAUGUAGUUUAUUCUUGAUGGACUUAUUUCCCUUCUGUUCUGAACCAAAACUUCACUUUGCAAUAAAC